RNAcentral lists this long non-coding RNA (252 nucleotides) under Cricetulus griseus (Chinese hamster). Its description in RNAcentral is "lncRNA (ENSCGRG00015036351.1)". Lineage: Eukaryota; Metazoa; Chordata; Mammalia; Rodentia; Cricetidae. The record is from RNAcentral.
CAUUCAGGGGCUAUAUAGAGUCAGGGAUGGAAGUCCUUAAAGCUGGUUACAGUCUCUCUGGGUCGCCAGAGCAAAUGGCCUACUUGAAGCACAUGAGUCACUGGGAGGCACAGUUGCUCAACAGCCAGUUACUGAUGCAAUGACACAUAUGGACCUCAAAGCCAAAGACUAUCUUCUUUCUCGUCAUUUCUACAGCUUUGGAAGUAGCAUUUCCCCCAGGCAUAGCCACCCUAAUAAAAUUAUACACAGAAG